Molecule: non-coding RNA, 23 nt
Filed under: Arabidopsis thaliana (thale cress)
Lineage: Eukaryota; Viridiplantae; Streptophyta; Magnoliopsida; Brassicales; Brassicaceae
Source: RNAcentral
CUUUCCAUCCUCUUACUCCGGCC